AAUAUAAUCAAAUGAUAGGAUACUUACCAAAUGACAUGAUGUGGAGGUUAGAAUCAAAUCAUUGUAUAAUAUCGAUCAAUUAGAUGUUAGGCGCUUGUGGUAUAAAACCCGUUUUGGGAUACUAAUUAUUGACCAGAAAGAAGCACAUAUAAUUAAAUAUUGGAACAUGACAAUAUUCAAUAUAUAGUUUUCUACAUUUGCAAUAUUGGCAUGCUGAAUUUAUUAGAUGUUGGAUAUCAGUUCAAGAAAUUGUGCAUCACUCUAGUCCUUGAAAACUAUAACAUUCAGUUUCUUCACUGCAAACAGAUACAAGGAUCAUUCCAAAGAUUUUAAGCAUGUGAAGCACCAAUAAAAAAAAACCCAUUAUCUUGAGAAUGAGAGAGAUAAACGACACUUACAAGGUAAAACUAAAACUAAAAUUGAUUUCAGACUUCAUAGAAAUGAGCAAACAAAAACACACAAAUUUGACACUCACAUUUUUN
This 482-nucleotide long non-coding RNA is filed under the name Trifolium pratense (red clover). RNAcentral describes it as "long non-coding RNA (TPRA_LNC007891)". Lineage: Eukaryota; Viridiplantae; Streptophyta; Magnoliopsida; Fabales; Fabaceae. The record is from RNAcentral.